CCAUUCACUGUGUUAACCUUUACUAUGGGGCGGCUGUGGCUCAGGAAGUAGAGCAGGUCGUCCACUAAGCGGAAGAUAGGUGGUUCCAUUCCAGGCUCCUCCAGUCCACAUGUUGAGGUGUCCUUGGCCUUGGGUCCUUGGGUGCUGACGUGCUACGGCAGUCCCAGGUAAGUCCUGGUGCUUUAGUAGUACUGCAUGGGGCGGGAAGGCCCUGGGGUAGAGCCUCAGGCAAUGGCGUUGGCCCAGCCACUCUCCAGAGACUGCUCUGGCUCAACUGGUCCGUCAAUCUUCAGAGACAAAUAUAAGUACUCCAGUCUUCAUCAGCAGCUGCUUUCUCUCUCUCUUCUGCUUUCUCUCAUAUUCUGUUCCUAUCUCACUUUGCCCACGUAUUCAAUCCAAAAUGGUUUACACCCUACAAGUUCUGUAUGUGGGCGUGACAUUGUGCAAGUGGGGUCAAGAGGUCAACAGUGGAGGCGGCCAGAAGAUGUCUUUCAUGACUUCACUGAUGCAAAUACCUCUCACCAAACAAACACAGAGGAGAGAGGAGAGGGGGGACAUGAUCAGAAAUGAAGCUCCCUCAGCCUCUGCAGGCCUCUGAGGGCCACCUUGGCCUUUCAGGCUGGGGCUUGCCAGGGUAUUAGGGGUGUCAGGUUCAGUGACGGGAUGGUGAACAGUAAUUAUAGCAAGGCCCCGGCCCCUGUCCAGAUCCCCUGGUGUCAGGAGGAGAGCGCUGGAUUGGCAGGAGGAGCUCCAGGCCUGGAGUCUCCAGAGGACCCAUUAAGACGGAGGCCCAGCGUCCUGAUCAAGCCAACCCCUGUGCUCUUUGACUGCACAAUUACAGCUAGGCCCGCUCAUUUGCGGAGCUCACUGUUGUUGUUAGCGUCACCUCAGUCCAUAGCCUCCUUAAUAACGCACUCAGUAGUGCUUGCAGACCCACAGUCAGCACAGUGAGACGUGCAGGGUGAGUUAAUGAUGAGGGUUACGAUUUCCGUGUGAUGUUACAUGAUCUGAUUGGUAGAGAGAGCCUGACCUUGUGGUGCACUGGACCUAUUAUUGAAAAAACAAGAAGUCUGCAGGAUUUGUAAUUGCCUAGAGUUUAUAUGGAUAGUUUGGGUUAAUAUUUGAUUCUAGUCACAUUCUGGAUGUCUUGCUACUGAAAUAAAGAAAGAGGUUUAUUCUGGGGGUUGGGGUGUUUUCUUUUUAUUGUUUGGCUAUAUACUUUUGUAUGUUUGUUCAUAAGUACAUACACAAUUUGGCCAAAAUUAUGUCAACCCAGUCUCACAUCAAAAUGUGUAAUAGCUACAUUGGUCCACAGUGCAAAAUGUAUUAGUUUCACAAUAACGGCUCUAAAAUUCUGAAAUGUCUGUGGUUUUUUUGACCUGUUCUUUUCUAAUGGCCUGCGUCCACAUUACAUCACUGUGAAGUUUCUGUCUGUCAAAAAAAAAAAAAAAAGGCUGACAUUCCUUUUAUUCUCAGUGGA
Molecule: long non-coding RNA, 1480 nt
Organism: Thunnus maccoyii (southern bluefin tuna)
Lineage: Eukaryota; Metazoa; Chordata; Actinopteri; Scombriformes; Scombridae
Exons: 3
Source: RefSeq, a predicted model, not a curated record